RNAcentral lists this ribosomal RNA (468 nucleotides) under uncultured bacterium. Its description in RNAcentral is "partial 16S ribosomal RNA". It matches the Rfam family "Bacterial small subunit ribosomal RNA", at positions 28 to 507 of the family's 1533-position model. The record is from RNAcentral.
GACGAACGCUGGCGGCGUGCUUAACACAUGCAAGUCGAACGGAAAGGCCCUGCUUUUGUGGGGUGCUCGAGUGGCGAACGGGUGAGUAACACGUGAGUAACCUGCCCUUGACUUUGGGAUAACUUCAGGAAACUGGGGCUAAUACCGGAUAGGAGCUCCUGCUGCAUGGUGGGGGUUGGAAAGUUUCGGCGGUUGGGGAUGGACUCGCGGCUUAUCAGCUUGUUGGUGGGGUAGUGGCUUACCAAGGCUUUGACGGGUAGCCGGCCUGAGAGGGUGACCGGCCACAUUGGGACUGAGAUACGGCCCAGACUGCUACGGGGGGCAGCAGGGGGGAAUAUUGCGCAAUGGGCGGGAGCCUGAUGCAGCAACGCCGCGUGCGGGAUGACGGCCUUCGGGGUGUAAACCGCUUUCGCCUGUGACGAAGCGUGAGUGACGGUAAUGGGUAAAGAAGCACCGGCUAACUACGUG